AGAUUAAGUUAUUAAGGGCGCACGGUGGAUGCCUUGGCACUAGAAGCCGACGAAGGACGUUACUAACGACGAUAUGCUUUGGGGAGCUGUAAGUAAGCUUUGAUCCAGAGAUUUCCGAAUGGGGAAACCCAGCACGAGUUAUGUCGUGUUAUCUGCAUGUGAAUACAUAGCAUGCAAGAAGGCAGACCCGGAGAACUGAAACAUCUUAGUACCCGGAGGAAGAAGAAAAAAUCGAUUCCCUGAGUAGCGGCGAGCGAAACAGGAAGAGCCCAAACCAAUAAGCUUGCUUAUUGGGGUUGUAGGACACUCUGUACGGAGUUACAAAAUUUGUUAGACGAAUAACCUGGAAAGGUUAAUCAGAGAAGGUAAUAAUCCUGUAGUCGAAUUCUCUCUUGAGUGGAUCCUGAGUACGACGGAGCACGUGAAAUUCCGUCGGAAUCUGGGAGGACCAUCUCCUAAGGCUAAAUACUCUCUAGUGACCGAUAGUGAACCAGUACCGUGAGGGAAAGGUGAAAAGUACCCCGGAAGGGGUGAAGAGAACUUGAAACCGUGUGCUUACAAGUAGUCAGAGCCGUUAAUGGGUGAUGGCGUGCCUUUUGUAGAAUGAACCGGCGAGUUACGAUCUGAUGCAAGGUUAAGCAGAAAAUGUGGAGCCGUAGCGAAAGCGAGUCUGAAUAGGGCGAAUGAGUAUUUGGUCGUAGACCCGAAACCAGGUGAUCUACCCUUGGUCAGGUUGAAGUUCAGGUAACACUGAAUGGAGGACCGAACCGACUUACGUUGAAAAGUGAGCGGAUGAACUGAGGUAGCGGAGAAAUUCAAUCGAACUUGGAGAUAGCUGGUUCUCAGAAAUAGCUUUGGGGCUAGCCUCAAGUGAUGAUUAUUGGAGGUAGAGCACUGUUUGGACGAGGGCCCCUCUCGGGUUACCGAAUUCAGACAAACUCCAGAUGCCAAAUAAUUUAACUUAGGAGUCAGAAUGUGGAUAAGGUCCAUAUUCGAGAAACAGCCCAGACCACCAGCUAAGGUCCCAAAAUAUAUGUUAAGUGGAAAAGGAUGUGGCGUUGCCCAGACAGCUAGGAUGUUGGCUUAGAAGCAGCCAUCAUUUAAGAGUGCGUAAUAGCUCACUAGUCGAGUGACACUGCGCCGAAAAUGUACCAGGGCUAAACAUAUUACCGAAGCUGUGGAUUGUCCUUUGGACAAUGGUGAGAAACGUUCUAAGGGCGUUGAAGCAUGAUCACCAAGGACAUGUGGGCCUUAGAAGUGAGAAUGCCGGUGUGAGUAGCGAAAGACGGGUGAGAAUCCCGUCCACCGAUUGACUAAGGUUUCCAGAGGAAGGCUCGUCUCUGGGUGAGUCAGUCUAAGCUGAAGGCCGACAGGCGUAGGCGAUGGAUAACAGGUUGAUAUUCCUGUACCACCAUUAUUCGUUUUAAGCGAUGGGGGGGACGCAGUAGGAUAGAAGCGUGCUGUUGGAGUGCACGUCCAGCGGUGAGAUUGAGUGUUAGGCAAAUCCGGCACUCUUAAGAUUGAGCUGUGAUGGGGAGGACACCUCAGUCGGUCGAUUCACACACUGCCGAGAAAAGCCUCUAGCUAGAAUAACGGUGCCCGUACCGCAAACCGACACAGGUAGUCAAGAUGAGAAUUCUAAGGUGAGCGAGCGAACUCUCGUUAGGAACUCAGCAAAUGACCCGUAACUUCGGGAGAAGGGGUGCUCUUUGAGUUCACGCUUCGAAGAGCCGCAGUGAAUAGGCCCACGACUGUUUAUCAAAAACACAGGUCUCUGCUAAACCGUAAGGUGACGUAUAGGGACUGACGCCUGCCCAGUGCUGGAAGGUUANNNNNNNNNNNNNNNNNNNNNNNNNNNNNNNNNNNNNNNNNNNNNNNNNNNNNNNNNNNNNNNNNNNNNNNNNNNNNNNNNNNNNNNNNNNNNNNNNNNNCAAGUCGAGCAGGGUCGAAACGGACUUAGUGAUCGGUGGUUCCCAUGGAAGGGCCAUCGCUCAACGGAUAAAAGCUACCCCGGGGAUAACAACUUAUCCCCAAGAGUUCACAUCGACGGGAGGUUUGGCACCUCGAUGUCGGCUCAUCGCAUCCUGGGGCUGUAGUCGGUCCCAAGGGUUGGGCUGUUCGCCCAUUAAAGCGGUACGCGAGCUGGGUUCAGAACGUCGUGAGACAGUUCGGUCCCUAUCCGUCGUGGGCGUAGGAAAUUUGAGAGGAGCUGUCCUUAGUACGAGAGGACCGGGAUGGACAUACCUCUGGUGUACCAGUUGUCGUGCCAACGGCAUAGCUGGGUAGCUAUGUAUGGACGGGAUAAGUGCUGAAAGCAUCUAAGCAUGAAGCCCCCCUCGAGAUGAGAUUUCCCAACUUCGGUUAUAAGAUCCCUCAAAGAUGAUGAGGUAAAUAGGUUCGAGGUGGAAGCGUAGCGAUACGUGGAGCUGACGAAUACUAAUCGAUCGAAGACUUAAUCAA
Molecule: ribosomal RNA, 2460 nt
Filed under: Staphylococcus pseudintermedius
Lineage: Bacteria; Bacillati; Bacillota; Bacilli; Caryophanales; Staphylococcaceae
Description: 23S ribosomal RNA
Rfam family: Bacterial large subunit ribosomal RNA
Source: RNAcentral